UCGGCAUGGGCGAAAGCCUGAUCAGCAAUGCCGCGUGUGUGAAGAAGGCCUUCGGGUUGUAAAGCACUUUUGUCCGGAAAGAAAUCCUUUGGGUUAAUACCUCGGGGGGAUGACGGUACCGGAAGAAUAAGCACCGGCUAACUACGUGCCAGCAGCCGCGGUAAUACGUAGGGUGCAAGCGUUAAUCGGAAUUACUGGGCGUAAAGCGUGCGCAGGCGGUUUUGUAAGACGGAUGUGAAAUCCCCGGGCUUAACCUGGGAACUGCAUUCGUGACUGCAAGGCUAGAGUAUGGCAGAGGGGGGUAGAAUUCCACGUGUAGCAGUGAAAUGCGUAGAGAUGUGGAGGAAUACCGAUGGCGAAGGCAGCCCCCUGGGCCAAUACUGACGCUCAUGCACGAAAGCGUGGGGAGC
Molecule: ribosomal RNA, 410 nt
Filed under: uncultured bacterium
Lineage: Bacteria
Description: bacterial SSU rRNA
Rfam family: Bacterial small subunit ribosomal RNA
Source: RNAcentral